Molecule: transfer RNA, 73 nt
Filed under: Canis lupus familiaris (dog)
Lineage: Eukaryota; Metazoa; Chordata; Mammalia; Carnivora; Canidae
Also listed under: 1 other name
Rfam family: tRNA
About the family: Transfer RNA (tRNA) molecules are approximately 80 nucleotides in length. Their secondary structure includes four short double-helical elements and three loops (D, anti-codon, and T loops). Further hydrogen bonds mediate the characteristic L-shaped molecular structure. tRNAs have two regions of fundamental functional importance: the anti-codon, which is responsible for specific mRNA codon recognition, and the 3' end, to which the tRNAs corresponding amino acid is attached (by aminoacyl-tRNA synthetases). tRNAs cope with the degeneracy of the genetic code in two manners: having more than one tRNA (with a specific anti-codon) for a particular amino acid; and 'wobble' base-pairing, i.e. permitting non-standard base-pairing at the 3rd anti-codon position.
Source: Rfam by way of RNAcentral
GCCUGGCUGGCUUAGUCGGUACAGCAUGUGACUAUUGGUCUCAGGUUUGUGAGUUCAAGUCCCAUGCUGGGUG